CCCGGCGCGGCCCCGACCCGCAGCCGGCGCCGGGAGCCGGGUGUCCUCAAAGCAGAGCACUGAUGAGCACCCAGAGAACGCCGGAGUCUCCAGAACCCCGGACAGCAGCCACAGGAGGCCCGAGAGGCAGUCGGGCAUCUCUGCCAU
This is a long non-coding RNA of Enhydra lutris kenyoni (northern sea otter), 147 nucleotides long. RefSeq lists it as uncharacterized. The record is from RefSeq and is a predicted model, not a curated record. The transcript is spliced from 3 exons. NCBI's taxonomy places the organism in Eukaryota, Metazoa, Chordata, Mammalia, Carnivora, Mustelidae.